Molecule: non-coding RNA, 96 nt
Organism: Morchella snyderi
Lineage: Eukaryota; Fungi; Ascomycota; Pezizomycetes; Pezizales; Morchellaceae
Source: the annotation of a GenBank genome assembly
GCCCUGCUGGCGCAAUGGUAGCGCGUCAGACUUCUAUGGGACUCCGGUCCUCUAGAAUACAUCUGAAGGUUGCGGGUUCGACCCCCGCGUGGGGUU